GAUGAAGAACGCAGCGAAAUGCGAUAAGCAAUGUGAAUUGCAGAAUUCAGUGAAUCAUCGAAUCUUUGAACGCACAUUGCGCCCCCCAGUAUUCUGGCGGGCAUGCCUGUUCGAGCGUCAUUUCAACCAUCAAGCCCUGCUUGUGUUGGGGUCCUGCGGCUGCCCGCAGGCCCUGAAAACCAGUGGCGGGCUCGCUAGUCACACCGAGCGCAGUAGCACAUCUCGCUCAGGGCGUGCGGCGGGCUCCAGCCGUUAAAGCACCCACCUUUCGCAAGGUUGACCUCGGAUCAGGUAGGAAUACCCGCUGAACUUAAGCAUAUCAAUAAGCGGAGGA
RNAcentral lists this unclassified non-coding RNA (334 nucleotides) under soil metagenome. RNAcentral's name for it is "partial contains 5.8S ribosomal RNA, internal transcribed spacer 2, and large subunit ribosomal RNA". The stretch from base 1 to 120 matches the Rfam family "5.8S ribosomal RNA", at positions 35 to 154 of the family's 154-position model. The record is from RNAcentral.